RNAcentral lists this ribosomal RNA (407 nucleotides) under uncultured bacterium. Its description in RNAcentral is "partial 16S ribosomal RNA". It matches the Rfam family "Bacterial small subunit ribosomal RNA", at positions 28 to 526 of the family's 1533-position model. The record is from RNAcentral.
GACGAACGCUGGCGGCGUGCCUAAUACAUGCAAGUAGAACGCAGUUGCGAACGGGUGAGUAACGCGUAGGUAACUGCCUCAAAGCGGGGGAUAACUAUUGGAAACGAUAGCUAAUACCGCAUACUGUGAGAUGGACUUGCGUUGUAUUAGCUAGUUGGUGAGGUAAAGGACUACCAAGGCGACGAGACAUAGCCGACCUUGGAGGGGGAUUGGUCACACUGGGACUGGGGCCAGGCCCAGGCUACUCAGGGGUGCAGCAGGAGGGAAACGUCGGCAAGUGACCGAAAGCUGGCCGAGCAACGGCGGGUGAGUGGAUAAGGGUUUCAGACCCUAAAGCGCCGGUGUUAGGGGAGCGGUAACUAACCAGAAAGCGACGGCUAACUACGUGCCAGCAGCCGCGGUAAUAC